Molecule: ribosomal RNA, 492 nt
Filed under: uncultured bacterium
Lineage: Bacteria
Description: bacterial SSU rRNA
Rfam family: Bacterial small subunit ribosomal RNA
Source: RNAcentral
AUUGAACGCUGGCGGUAUGCUUAACACAUGCAAGUCGAACGGUAGCAGGUCUAGCUUGCUAGAUGCUGACGAGUGGCGGACGGGUGAGUAACGCGUAGGAAUCUGCCUUAUUGUGGGGGAUAACCUGGGGAAACUCAGGCUAAUACCGCAUGAGCCCUAAGGGGGAAAGGAUGGGACCGCAAGGCCAUUCGCGAUAAGAUGAGCCUGCGUCGGAUUAGCUUGUUGGUGGGGUAAAGGCCUACCAAGGCGAGGAUCCGUAGCUGGUCUGAGAGGACGACCAGCCACACUGGGACUGAGACACGGCCCAGACUCCCACGGGAGGCAGCAGUGGGGAAUAUUGGACAAUGGGGGCAACCCUGAUCCAGCAAUACCGCGUGUGUGAAGAAGGCCUGCGGGUUGUAAAGCACUUUCAGUGGGGAGGAAGAGCUUAUUGUUAAUAGCAAUGAGUUGAGACGUUACCCACAGAAGAAGCACCGGCUAACUCUGUGCCAG